RNAcentral lists this ribosomal RNA (468 nucleotides) under uncultured bacterium. RNAcentral describes it as "partial 16S ribosomal RNA". It matches the Rfam family "Bacterial small subunit ribosomal RNA", at positions 28 to 507 of the family's 1533-position model. The record is from RNAcentral.
GACGAACGCUGGCGGCGUGCUUAACACAUGCCAGUCGAACGGAAAGGCCCUGCUUUUGUGGGGUGCUCGAGUGGCGAACGGGUGAGUAACACGUGAGUAACCUGCCCUUGACUUUGGGAUAACUUCAGGAAACUGGGGCUAAUACCGGAUAGGAGCUCCUGCUGCAUGGUGGGGGUUGGAAAGUUUCGGCGGUUGGGGAUGGACUCGCGGCUUAUCAGCUUGUUGGUGGGGUAGUGGCUUACCAAGGCUUUGACGGGUAGCCGGCCUGAGAGGGUGACCGGAAAAAGGGGGACUGAGAAAGGGCCCGGACCCCUACGGGAGGAAGAAGGGGGAAAUAGGGAAAAGGGGGGGGAAGCCGGAGGCAGCAGCGCCGGGGGGGGGAGGAGGGCUUCCGGUUUGAAAACCGCUUUCGCCGGGGAGGAAGGGGGAGGGAGGGAAGGGGAUAAAGAAGCACCGGCAAACUACGUG